GUCCCUUCGGGGACAUCAGAUAAAAUUGGAAUGAUAUAGAGAAGAUUAGCAUGGCCCCUGUGCAAGGAUGACACACAAAAAAUAGUGGAUAGAAUGACAAGC
Molecule: small nuclear RNA, 102 nt
Organism: Prosopis cineraria
Lineage: Eukaryota; Viridiplantae; Streptophyta; Magnoliopsida; Fabales; Fabaceae
Source: RefSeq, a predicted model, not a curated record